This is an RNA transcript of Caenorhabditis elegans, 1275 nucleotides long. It is a transcript of the gene named Non-coding transcript of protein-coding gene T16H12.3d, with no coding region annotated. The record is from RefSeq and is marked reviewed. NCBI's taxonomy places the organism in Eukaryota, Metazoa, Nematoda, Chromadorea, Rhabditida, Rhabditidae. The transcript is spliced from 8 exons.
AUGUCGGAUACAACAUAUUUUACUGAUGCGUGGCAGCCGAAAGAAGUACUGGAUCCGGAAACCGAGACAAAUGCCAAUGAGUCCAUAAUUCAAAUGGUGUUUUAUCAUAAGCUGGCUUGUAUCUAUCACAUAAUAAUGUCGAAUUAUACAUGGAAACAAGCUGAUAUUCAAACUCUCAUUUCAUUUUAUGAAACACUUGGCGAAGAAAUAAAUCCGAAGGUUCAGAAAGUGCAGCAGAACUCGGAGGCGAAUUCGUUCAGUGAGAAAGCAAAAAAAUUCGGGCUUUUGGAUCUUCCAAUUUACUCAAAAUGCGUUGAUUCAUCACAACUCAUCGCCGAAUCCGCUUCACGUGUUUAUCAUGAUGCAAAAGAAUACAUGAACAAUGGAUCAGCGACUGAGGCAGAACUAUAUCGAUUUGUUUCAUCAAUUCUGAAAGAAGUUCUGGAACCUAUCUUUAAUCCUAAAGAGAUUCGAAAUGUGCUAAAAGGACUCAUCACAUCGCUUGUAGACAGUCGAAGUAGAGAUGAAGAGAUUGGAAGUGACAUUGAAAAGAAUGUCAAAUACGAAGUCGUCAGAUUUCUUCCAGAAAGUCCUCCGAAUUUUCCUGGCUUUAACGACAAUGUAUCCCGUUCAAUUACCAAUUUUAUUGGAUAUUUUGCGCUUCACACAAUCAGGCACCAUUGCUACGUAAACUUCGGAGUCGACGGCGAGCUGAAGUUUUAUCAACGGAAUAUGUAUAAAAAAGCUUUUGACGACUUGAGAGUUAACAAAGCCAAACCAACUGUCAGUGUUAAACCAGAAGCAUCACUUAAAAGAGAGCCAAAAGCAGAGACUCCGACGCUUACACGAGUCAAACCAGAGAUCCGUAACGACUCGGACGAGGAUUUCUGUGAAAUAAUUGAGCCUGUUAAUUUCAGUGUAAACUUUUUAAAUCAAAAAUUAAUAUACCUUUCCAUAUUAAUUUUUGAUUAAAAAAGAUUAUCACACUGAAAUUAAACGUUUUGGUUUUUCAAAUUUUAAUGUUUCCAAUUUCAGGCUGUCAAGAAAUCCAAAACUCGGCAAACAUCGGAAAGCAAUGCCAAAGGUGGAAAAGAAUUGAAAGAUUUCCCGGAAAAAUAUAUGCUUGAAGACCUCGACAAAGACGACCUUCCCAUGAACUUCAAGACCAAAUUUCGGAAGCUCGUCGAGCAGAAUCAAAUGCUUCGCGAUGAAAUUAACGACUACAAAGAGCUGAUUCAACUGAAAAUUGCCGAGAAGAAACAGCGAAUGGGCUAA